This 469-nucleotide ribosomal RNA is filed under the name uncultured organism. RNAcentral describes it as "partial 16S ribosomal RNA". It matches the Rfam family "Bacterial small subunit ribosomal RNA", at positions 335 to 796 of the family's 1533-position model. The record is from RNAcentral.
ACUCCUGCGGGAGGCAGCAGUGGGGAAUAUUGCACAAUGGGCGCAAGCCUGAUGCAGCCAUGCCGCGUGUAUGAAGAAGGCCUUCGGGUUGUAAAGUACUUUCAGCGGGGAGGAAGGCGAUAAGGUUAAUAACCUUGUCGAUUGACGUUACCCGCAGAAGAAGCACCGGCUAACUCCGUGCCAGCAGCCGCGGUAAUACGGAGGGUGCAAGCGUUAAUCGGAAUUACUGGGCGUAAAGCGCACGCAGGCGGCCUGUCAAGUCGGAUGUGAAAUCCCCGGGCUCAACCUGGGAACUGCAUUCGAAACUGGCAGGCUAGAGUCUUGUAGAGGGGGGUAGAAUUCCAGGUGUAGCGGUGAAAUGCGUAGAGAUCUGGAGGAAUACCGGUGGCGAAGGCGGCCCCCUGGACAAAGACUGACGCUCAGGUGCGAAAGCGUGGGGAGCAAACAGGAUUAGAAACCCGAGUAGUCC